This 654-nucleotide transfer RNA is filed under the name uncultured Prochlorococcus sp. Its description in RNAcentral is "partial 16S-23S ribosomal RNA intergenic spacer". The stretch from base 248 to 320 matches the Rfam family "tRNA". Lineage: Bacteria; Bacillati; Cyanobacteriota; Cyanophyceae; Synechococcales; Prochlorococcaceae. The record is from RNAcentral.
UUUGAUGCCUGAGUGCUUUUAUUCUUAGGCCGAAAUCCUGUCACCUUAGGUCGAUCGGUACCUCAGCUUUGAAGUUAAGGAUCAGCAGCAAUGUUGAUUGCUUGAUGGAGAUUUUCAGUUCCUAAACUUUGUCUAGGUCACACCCCAAAAGGGAUGAGACUCCUGGGCCAUUAGCUCAGGUGGUUAGAGCGCACCCCUGAUAAGGGUGAGGUCCCUGGUUCAAGUCCAGGAUGGCCCAUUCGGUGUUGGGGGUUUAGCUCAGUUGGUAGAGCGCCUGCUUUGCAAGCAGGAUGUCAGGAGUUCGAGUCUCCUAACCUCCACUGACCGAACUUGAUUCCCAUCUCCAAUUUUUUUGGAGUUGAGCUCGAUUGGAGUGUGAUUUAGAUGUGUCCGCUGGAUGACCCCAGCUUCCUGUCAUUCCAAGUUUUAGGUUGAUGCCUUGAAUUUGGUUGAUAAGAUGCUGGGCUCGGAUCAAAUGAUCAAGAAAUUGAUGAUUUGAUUUGAAGUUCUAGCAGAACCUUGACAACUGCAUAGGUGAGUCUGGAAAAAACAAAGCAUCUUACAGAUGCAUUGUUUUGAAUCUGAUCUUCUGAAAGGGAGAUUGGAUCUAGAACAAUGAAAAUUCUUUUGAGCAAGAGCCGAGACUCUUGAGCG